UACAGAGGGUGCAAGCGUUGUUCGGAAUUACUGGGCGUAAAGCGUGCGUAGUCGGUAUUGAGAGUCGCGGGUGAAAUCCCAGGGCUUAACCCUGGAACUGCCUGCGAGACCUCAGUACUAGAGUGUUAGAGGGGACAGUGGAAUACCCAGUGUAGCGGUGAAAUGCGUAGAGAUUGGGUGGAACACCGGUGGCGAAGGCGACUGUCUGGCUAACAACUGACGAUCAGGCACGAAAGCGUGGGUAGCAAACAGG
RNAcentral lists this ribosomal RNA (253 nucleotides) under uncultured bacterium. Its description in RNAcentral is "partial 16S ribosomal RNA". It matches the Rfam family "Bacterial small subunit ribosomal RNA", at positions 524 to 776 of the family's 1533-position model. The record is from RNAcentral.